GAGGAGCUUGCUUCUUGGGUGGCGAGUGGCGAACGGGUGAGUAACGCAUCGGAACGUACCGAGUAAUGGGGGAUAACUGUCCGAAAGGACAGCUAAUACCGCAUACGCCCUGAGGGGGAAAGCGGGGGAUCUUAGGACCUCGCGUUAUUCGAGCAGCCGAUGUCUGAUUAGCUGGUUGGCGGGGUAAAGGCCCACCAAGGCGACGAUCAGUAGCGGGUCUGAGAGGAUGAUCCGCCACACUGGGACUGAGACACGGCCCAGACUCCUACGGGAGGCAGCAGUGGGGAAUUUUGGACAAUGGGCGCAAGCCUGAUCCAGCCAUGCCGCGUGUCUGAAGAAGGCCUUCGGGUUGUAAAGGACUUUUGUCAGGGAAGAAAAGGGGCAUGUUAAUACCGUGCUCUGAUGACUGUACCUGAAGAAUAAGCACCG
RNAcentral lists this ribosomal RNA (429 nucleotides) under Neisseria bacilliformis. RNAcentral describes it as "bacterial SSU rRNA". It matches the Rfam family "Bacterial small subunit ribosomal RNA", at positions 73 to 495 of the family's 1533-position model. Lineage: Bacteria; Pseudomonadati; Pseudomonadota; Betaproteobacteria; Neisseriales; Neisseriaceae. The record is from RNAcentral.